This 4004-nucleotide long non-coding RNA is filed under the name Sus scrofa (pig). RNAcentral describes it as "lncRNA (ENSSSCG00025051612.1)". Lineage: Eukaryota; Metazoa; Chordata; Mammalia; Artiodactyla; Suidae. The record is from RNAcentral.
GAGAGAAAGAAGCCCACACCAAGGGUUGUCCCAGGCUCCCGGUGUGUUUGCUACUGCCUGCUGCACAGAGUUCCGACAGGGUCCUCCCUUAACAAGCAAAGAGGAAAAUCAUCUCUGUUGCGAUGCCAGUGUGACUCGGCAAAGUUGCAUCUAGCGUGCGCGUCUGUCCUGGCUGAGGGGGGCUGAGAGAGGCUUUGCUGCCCUUUUCCCCCUUGAAUACGAGUUUCUCGUGACUUUCCACCACCCUGAACUCACAAUGAUCCGUCAAGGACCUUCUCCUAUUUCCCUCCCAGCACCAUCCUAAUUUCCUCCCUUCAGUGGCUUCUCUCCUCUUCAUGAUCACUUUAUCCCUUCCUGGACCAGAGGAAAUAACGAGAGACAGUGCCUCCUCCGCUGAAAAUCCACAGCCAGGCAUGGACCCCUCCCCACCACCUCCUACUAUGGUACUUAAAGACCUCACCAUGAAAAACUGGAUUGCAUAAAGGACUGCUCCUGGACAGAGACCCCUGGCUUGUUAUAUUUGCACAACUGGACAGUUUUCAUGGCAUAGAUUGGAUGGACUCUGUCAGUGACAGGAGGCAAUGUCCCUCCUGAAGGAGGGAAGGGAGUCUCUUCACUAGCAAAUACUCCAGUUUCUCAGCCAUUGGGGAAAAAAAAAAGAUCCUGUGAUUCCAACCAUGGAACUGCUACUCAAAACAACUACAAGAAAGAGGAAGUAGAGACCACGCGAGGUAUUUCCGUGUAAGACUGUUCCACCUUGAGAAAAGAAGCAAAAUGUGGAAAUGGGUCCUUCGCUGGAGAAUGGAUUAAAGAGUCUUUGGUCUCUUUCUGAAUUGUGCUACUUAAUUUAUCAUCACCACCAUCAUCAUCAUCUUUGUUGUCAUCAUCUCCAUCACCCGUGCUUCCUACAUGCCAGAAGUGUUGUGUUCCCUGGUUGAUCUCAUUUAAUUCUUCUGACAGCAAUAUGAGAGAUUUUGCAAUACUAAUGACAAAGAAAGCCUGGUGGAAUCACCUACUGGGAAGGCAGUGGUCCAGCUUUGGGUAAAUCUGAUUCAUUUACUCAGCAAAUAUUUAUGGAGCACUUACCAUGUGCUGUCAGGUUGUUGGGAUACAUCCGUUAACAAGAAGGAAGAAGAUUCCUGUCCUUAUUCUAGCAAAGAAAGCAGGAUUCAAAGCACUUCCUCUUAAGUAAUAGGCCUUGGCAGCUAUGCAGAGCAUUGCAGUGAGAAGCUGCUGUCUUGGGGGAGCUUUACUGCUUUUGGAGAUUUAAUACUGAUCUUGAACUUGAGGUGUGUCUGCAUGAACUUCUAUGCACCAGAAACUUUCAUUUCAAUGCUGAAAUGUGGGGUAAGAUUUUGGUGAAAUUUUAAACAAAUUUAGGGAACUACCUUAAGUAAAUUCAACCAGGUAUCACAUGCAGUCUUACUUUGGAAUUGUGAAAAAAAAAUAAUAAUAAGAGUGGAAAUAUGGAAAGAGAAUGCAAUAGCUACAACAGCAUAAACAUUGACUAUUAAGAAUCAAAAUAAUAUUCAUAAAAAAUAUUCAUUAAGUUAGGUGUCAACAUUUGUAAGAAAUGCACUGUUCCUGGCUUCGAGGUGGAAGAAGGCCGCCACAAGCUAAGGAAUGUGGGCCGCAUCUAGAAGCUGGAAAAGGCAAGAAAACAGUCUCCUCUAGAGCCUCUAGAAGGAAUACAGUCCUGGUGACACCUUGGUCUUGGCCCAGUGAGACCCAUAUCAGAUUUCUAACCUACAGAACUAUAAGAUAGUACAUUUAUGUUUUCUUAAGCCACUAGGUGUGUAAUCAUUUGUUACAACAGCCACAGGAAAGGAAUGCAUGUAUGGUUCUCUACAUUUUUGGUCUCUGCAGAGACAGGGUGGAUGGGGCCAGGAGACUAGCUCUGGCACUUAGAAUGGGGGAUGGGUGUGAUUUGCCCCCUACCUGGGCAAUGUGCCAUGACCUCUCUCUCUGGUGGUUGGACAGCUGAAUGCAGAGGGUCAGUAGAGGGUCAAGGAGGCUCUAGUGGAUGGCAGAGUCGCUGUUUGCAAGGAGCCUUGAAUCUGAAGUCACCACUUGAAAGAGUGUUGCCUCUGGGAGCUGCCCCAACCAAAUGCAUGAGUCUUAAUCCCCUGAGUUCCCAGAGUUCAUUUUUCCCUGCAGCAGAGCUGCUUCUAGUCUAACUCCAGAAUCUCCAAAUCAGAUUAUUUUUUCUUUUUAAAAAAUUUUUAAAGAGUUUUUUUUCUUUUUUUUUUUUUAAGGGAUCAAACUUCUACAUGGGCAAAGUCAGAACUUUGUUGGGCUUCCUUAGCCUUAGUUUGUAAUUCAGUCUUUUUAAAAUUUCACGUAGCACAUGGAGAGCAUUGUAAUCAAAUUUCUAUACUUAGGGCUUGUGACGGUCUUAAACCAGUGCUACUUUCUUGGCCACGGAGGCACCCACAGCCUCACAGUGCAGACAGACAGCUCAUUGGUCUCUUACAGGCUCUUCUGGCCUUUUCCUAAAUAUGCUCUCCAGUGCCAUAAAUUUCUACUUUUGUCCAGAGAUUCCUUUUUCUUGGAAUAUGUACCCCACCCCUUCCUUUAAGCUCAGCUCAAUUCCAUCUCCUUCAAGAUGCCUUUCUAGAUUCUCCAAGGAAUAUGAAUUUCCUUCCUCCAUGAUUCCCUGUGUUCUUUCGUAAUACUUAUUAAUGGAUCCCUGUCCUCUCUACCCAAGUACACACACAGGCACAUCCUAAAAUGUAGCUUCUAGAAGGCAAAUAUCAUCCCAGGCUCACUGUGGUCCUUCACCAUAAGAUAGUGCUCUAGGGCAGUAAAUGCUCUGUGCAUUUGCAAAUUUUAGUAAAACCUCUGUGGCUGGUGGAAGAGUUUUGUUUUGUUUGUUUAAGCAGACAGGAUCACGUGGUGCCUUUUAUAUUAUCAUAUAGGACUGGUCCAUUUAUAUAGAGCAAGGGUCCCCCAAGAUUCCUUGUUCAUCAAAAUCUGAAUGACUAAACCAGGCACUGUGCUAAAGGGCCGGAGCACCACGUACCCUGUGGAACUAUCAAAUGUCACCCACUAGGACAGCUGCAAACCACAUAUAGAGUGUACCUACUACGUACCAGACUUUGGGCAGGUGAUCGACAUCAGCCUGAGCCUCUGGCCAGUCCUUCACUUUCUAGGACUUCUUCCCUUUCAGGGAAAUUUGGCCUCCCAGCAUCUGGGGAACAAGCUGCUUAUUUGCUAAUAUCUGUUUGCACAUCAGGGUUUUUUACUUUUAGGAACAGUUUGUCUCUCUGGCAGAUCUCCGUGUUCCCAUACCGUUGUUUAUGAUGUAACUAAGCAUCUAUCGUAUAGAAUUGAACUCAAUUCUCUUUUGAAACUGCAAGAGAUCUAACCCGCUCAUUUUCUUUCCAUUUAACAUACGAGAGGGGUGUGUAGGAGCAGUUUAUUAAGGGGGAGCUGUUUAUUGAGGGAUCCUGGGGCUAAUCCCAGCCCAUUAUUUCUCCAUUUCCUUACAGCUCACUGAGAAGGGUGGGAGAGAACAGGAACGGGGAGACUAUUCUUUCCUGAGUGAUUGUUUGGCCAGUCCACAGGGAUCCUGACUUUCCUACACCCAUCAGGGAAGUAGCAUCCAGAGGGUCAUUCCAGGGACAGGGCUGGCUGUGUCAGGCUGUAAUGAAUGGUUCAGACUGAGAAGUGGAACUUGGCCAACAACAGGGAAAGACAAUAAUCAUUGGAAAAUUUAGGCAUUGAGAAUAAGAUCCAUGUCUGUCUUAUGUCCCCUGGGUACCAACACAAUGACUUGGCUUAGUAACUGCCCCAUAAUGUUUAAAUUAUGUUCAGUGAAUGAGUGAAUGAAUGGAUGCCGUAUUCUUGCUUCCUUCUCCAAACACUCUUUAUAAAAUUACGGCAUCUCAUUCAUGUCUCCUCUAUAAAUCGGGAAUUUGGUGAGGCAUGCUGUUUAUUGCUUAGGAAUCAUUUUACUUAAUCACAAAGGUCCCAGGGGUUCAGGCGGGGAAAAAAAAAAAAAA